Molecule: ribosomal RNA, 1418 nt
Filed under: metagenome
Description: bacterial SSU rRNA
Rfam family: Bacterial small subunit ribosomal RNA
Source: RNAcentral
GGGUUUGAUCCUGGCUCAGGAUGAACGCUGGCGGCGUGCCUAAGACAUGCAAGUCGAGCGACGAAACCGCUGUCGGAGCCGAAAGGUGAAGACAGGGGCUGAAAGCGGCGAACGGGUGAGUAACACCUGGAUAAUCUACCUUCGAGUGGGGGAUAACCACGCGAAAGCGUGGCUAAUACCGCAUGACGCCCCGGUUCCAUGAACCGGGGAUAAAAGGACGCGCGAGCAAUCGCGCGUGCGCUGGGAGAUGAGUCCGGGUCCUAUCAGCUAGUUGGCGGGGUAACGGCCCACCAAGGCUACGACGGGUAGCUGGUCUGAGAGGACGGUCAGCCACACUGGGAUUGAGAUACGGCCCAGACUCCUACGGGAGGCAGCAGUCGGGAAUUUUGGACAAUGCCCGAAAGGGUGAUCCAGCGACGCCGCGUGGAGGAUGAAGGCCUUCGGGUCGUAAACUCCUGUCAGGCGGGGAGAAGUUCCGCGCAAGCGGAAUUGACGGUACCGCCAGAGGAAGUCCCGGCUAACUCCGUGCCAGCAGCCGCGGUAAGACGGAGGGGGCUAGCGUUAUCCGGAUUGACUGGGUGUAAAGGGCGCGUAGGUGGUUCGGCGGGUCUGACGUUAAAGCCCCCGGCUUAGCCGGGGAAACAUGUCGGAAACUACCGAGCUUCGAGUCUGAAAGAGGAGAGCGGAACUCCUGGUGUAACGGUGAAAUGUGUGGAUAUCAGGAGGAACACCGGUGGCGAAGGCGGCUCUCUAGUUCAAGACUGACACUGAGGCGCGAAAGCUGGGGGAGCAAACAGGAUUAGAUACCCUGGUAGUCCCAGCCCUAAACGAUGGGUGUUAGGUAUCGGCCUUUCGGGGUCGGUGUCGUAGCUAACGCGUUAAACACCCCACCUGGGGAGUAUGGCCGCAAGGCUGAAACUCAAAGGAAUUGACGGGGGCCCGCACAAGCGGUGGAGCAUGUGGUUUAAUUCGAUGUACGCGAAAAACCUUACCAGGGCUUGACAUGCUGGAAGUAGAACCCGGAAACGGUGACGAUCGGUAUCCAGUCCGAAGCCAGCACAGGUGGUGCAUGGCUGUCGUCAGCUCGUGUCGUGAGAUGUUGGGUUAAGUCCCGCAACGAGCGCAACCCUUGCCCUUAGUUACUUUGGUUAACUCCGAAGCUCCUAAGGGGACUGCCGCAGACAAUGCGGAGGAAGGUGGGGAUGACGUCAAGUCAGCAUGCCCCUUAUGUCCUGGGCGACACACGUGCUACAAUGGCCGGUAUAAAGGGACGCCAAACCGUAAGGUGGAGCAAACCUCAAAAAACCGGUCCCAGUUCGGAUCGAGGUCUGAAAUUCGACCUCGUGAAGCCGGAAUCGCUAGUAAUCGCGAAUCAGAAAUGUCGCGGUGAAUACGUUCUCGGGCCUUGUACACACCGC